GACGAACGCUGGCGGCGUGCUUAACACAUGCAAGUCGAACGAUGAAGCCUAGCUUGCUAGGUGGAUUAGUGGCGAACGGGUGAGUAAUACGUGAGUAACCUACCUUUAACUCUGGGAUAAGCCCGGGAAACUGGGUCUAAUACCGGAUACGACCAAUCUCCGCAUGGGGUGUUGGUGGAAAGCGUUAUGUAGUGGUUAUAGAUGGGCUCACGGCCUAUCAGCUUGUUGGUGAGGUAACGGCUCACCAAGGCGACGACGGGUAGCCGGCCUGAGAGGGUGACCGGCCACACUGGGACUGAGACACGGCCCAGACUCCUACGGGAGGCAGCAGUGGGGAAUAUUGCACAAUGGGCGCAAGCCUGAUGCAGCGACGCCGCGUGAGGGAUGACGGCCUUCGGGUUGUAAACCUCUGUUAGCAGGGAAGAAGAGAGAUUGACGGUACCUGCAGAGAAAGCGCCGGCUAACUACGUGCCAGCAGCCGCGGUAAUACGUAGGGCGCGAGCGUUGUCCGGAAUUAUUGGGCGUAAGAGCUUGUAGGCGGUUUGUCGCGUCUGCUGUGAAAGGCCGGGGCUUAACUCCGUGUAUUGCAGUGGGUACGGGCAGACUAGAGUGCAGUAGGGGAGACUGGAAUUCCUGGUGUAGCGGUGGAAUGCGCAGAUAUCAGGAGGAACACCGAUGGCGAAGGCAGGUCUCUGGGCUGUAACUGACGCUGAGAAGCGAAAGCAUGGGGAGCGAACAGGAUUAGAUACCCUGGUAGUCCAUGCCGUAAACGUUGGGCACUAGGUGUGGGGAACAUUCCACGUUUUCCGCGCCGUAGCUAACGCAUUAAGUGCCCCGCCUGGGGAGUACGGCCGCAAGGCUAAAACUCAAAGAAAUUGACGGGGGCCCGCACAAGCGGCGGAGCAUGCGGAUUAAUUCGAUGCAACGCGAAGAACCUUACCAAGGCUUGACAUAUACUGGACCGCAUCAGAGAUGGUGUUUCCCUUCGGGGCUGGUAUACAGGUGGUGCAUGGUUGUCGUCAGCUCGUGUCGUGAGAUGUUGGGUUAAGUCCCGCAACGAGCGCAACCCUCGUUCUAUGUUGCCAGCACGUAAUGGUGGGGACUCAUAGGAGACUGCCGGGGUCAACUCGGAGGAAGGUGGGGAUGACGUCAAAUCAUCAUGCCCCUUAUGUCUUGGGCUUCACGCAUGCUACAAUGGCCGGUACAGAGGGUUGCGAUACUGUGAGGUGGAGCUAAUCCCUAAAAGCCGGUCCCAGUUCGGAUUGGGGUCUGCAACUCGACCCCAUGAAGUCGGAGUCGCUAGUAAUCGCAGAUCAGCAACGCUGCGGUGAAUACGUUCCCGGGCCU
This 1347-nucleotide ribosomal RNA is filed under the name uncultured bacterium. Its description in RNAcentral is "bacterial SSU rRNA". It matches the Rfam family "Bacterial small subunit ribosomal RNA", at positions 28 to 1381 of the family's 1533-position model. The record is from RNAcentral.